This 346-nucleotide ribosomal RNA is filed under the name uncultured bacterium. RNAcentral's name for it is "bacterial SSU rRNA". It matches the Rfam family "Bacterial small subunit ribosomal RNA", at positions 8 to 347 of the family's 1533-position model. The record is from RNAcentral.
AGAGUUUGAUCCUGGCUCAGGAUGAACGCUAGCUACAGGCUUAACACAUGCAAGUCGAGGGGCAGCAUGUUGGUUGCUUGCAACCAAUGAUGGCGACCGGCGCACGGGUGAGUAACGCGUAUCCAACCUACCCUUGUCCAUCGGAUAACCCGUCGAAAGGCGGCCUAACACGAUAUGCGGUUCUCAGCAGGCAUCUAACGAGAACGAAAUGUGAAGGAGAAGGAUGGGGAUGCGUCUGAUUAGCUUGUUGGCGGGGUAACGGCCACCAAGGCGACGAUCAGGUAGGGUUCUGAGAGGAACGGUCCCCCANAUUGGAACUGAGACACGGUCCAAACUCCUACAGGCA